RNAcentral lists this ribosomal RNA (1515 nucleotides) under Klebsiella pneumoniae. RNAcentral describes it as "bacterial SSU rRNA". It matches the Rfam family "Bacterial small subunit ribosomal RNA". The record is from RNAcentral. Lineage: Bacteria; Pseudomonadati; Pseudomonadota; Gammaproteobacteria; Enterobacterales; Enterobacteriaceae.
AGAGUUUGAUCAUGGCUCAGAUUGAACGCUGGCGGCAGGCCUAACACAUGCAAGUCGAGCGGUAGCACAGAGAGCUUGCUCUCGGGUGACGAGCGGCGGACGGGUGAGUAAUGUCUGGGAAACUGCCUGAUGGAGGGGGAUAACUACUGGAAACGGUAGCUAAUACCGCAUAACGUCGCAAGACCAAAGUGGGGGACCUUCGGGCCUCAUGCCAUCAGAUGUGCCCAGAUGGGAUUAGCUAGUAGGUGGGGUAACGGCUCACCUAGGCGACGAUCCCUAGCUGGUCUGAGAGGAUGACCAGCCACACUGGAACUGAGACACGGUCCAGACUCCUACGGGAGGCAGCAGUGGGGAAUAUUGCACAAUGGGCGCAAGCCUGAUGCAGCCAUGCCGCGUGUGUGAAGAAGGCCUUCGGGUUGUAAAGCACUUUCAGCGGGGAGGAAGGCGNNNNNNNNNNNNNNNNNCGAUUGACGUUACCCGCAGAAGAAGCACCGGCUAACUCCGUGCCAGCAGCCGCGGUAAUACGGAGGGUGCAAGCGUUAAUCGGAAUUACUGGGCGUAAAGCGCACGCAGGCGGUCUGUCAAGUCGGAUGUGAAAUCCCCGGGCUCAACCUGGGAACUGCAUUCGAAACUGGCAGGCUAGAGUCUUGUAGAGGGGGGUAGAAUUCCAGGUGUAGCGGUGAAAUGCGUAGAGAUCUGGAGGAAUACCGGUGGCGAAGGCGGCCCCCUGGACAAAGACUGACGCUCAGGUGCGAAAGCGUGGGGAGCAAACAGGAUUAGAUACCCUGGUAGUCCACGCCGUAAACGAUGUCGAUUUGGAGGUUGUGCCCUUGAGGCGUGGCUUCCGGAGCUAACGCGUUAAAUCGACCGCCUGGGGAGUACGGCCGCAAGGUUAAAACUCAAAUGAAUUGACGGGGGCCCGCACAAGCGGUGGAGCAUGUGGUUUAAUUCGAUGCAACGCGAAGAACCUUACCUGGUCUUGACAUCCACAGAACUUNUUGGUGCCUUCGGGAACUGUGAGACAGGUGCUGCAUGGCUGUCGUCAGCUCGUGUUGUGAAAUGUUGGGUUAAGUCCCGCAACGAGCGCAACCCUUAUCCUUUGUUGCCAGCGGUUAGGCCGGGAACUCAAAGGAGACUGCCAGUGAUAAACUGGAGGAAGGUGGGGAUGACGUCAAGUCAUCAUGGCCCUUACGACCAGGGCUACACACGUGCUACAAUGGCAUAUACAAAGAGAAGCGACCUCGCGAGAGCAAGCGGACCUCAUAAAGUAUGUCGUAGUCCGGAUUGGAGUCUGCAACUCGACUCCAUGAAGUCGGAAUCGCUAGUAAUCGUAGAUCAGAAUGCUACGGUGAAUACGUUCCCGGGCCUUGUACACACCGCCCGUCACACCAUGGGAGUGGGUUGCAAAAGAAGUAGGUAGCUUAACCUUCGGGAGGGCGCUUACCACUUUGUGAUUCAUGACUGGGGUGAAGUCGUAACAAGGUAACCGUAGGGGAACCUGCGGUUGGAUCACCU